RNAcentral lists this unclassified non-coding RNA (366 nucleotides) under uncultured fungus. RNAcentral describes it as "partial contains small subunit ribosomal RNA, internal transcribed spacer 1, and 5.8S ribosomal RNA". The stretch from base 1 to 73 matches the Rfam family "Eukaryotic small subunit ribosomal RNA", at positions 1759 to 1831 of the family's 1831-position model. Lineage: Eukaryota; Fungi. The record is from RNAcentral.
GCAAACUUGGUCAUUUAGAGGAAGUAAAAGUCGUAACAAGGUUUCCGUAGGUGAACCUGCGGAAGGAUCAUUACUGAAGAAAUGAUAGAGUUGAGCUGACUCCUUAGAGUAUGUGCUCGCGCUAUCGCUUUUUCUAUUCUCCACUGUGAACCCUUUGUAGACUUGUUAUGAUAUUUGGCUUCUUUUACAGGAAGUUCAUUGAGACUUGCACUUCGGUGCUUGACUCUGACCUUAUCAUAUCAGUCUAUGAUUUUAAUAUCAACUCUUUAGUUUAUGAAUGUCUUUUUGUUGGUUGUAACACCAAUAAAUUACUAUACAACUUUCAGCAACGGAUCUCUUGGCUCUCGCAUCGAUGAAGAACGCAGC